Molecule: long non-coding RNA, 1510 nt
Organism: Panicum virgatum (switchgrass)
Lineage: Eukaryota; Viridiplantae; Streptophyta; Magnoliopsida; Poales; Poaceae
Exons: 2
Source: RefSeq, a predicted model, not a curated record
ACAAACCCUCAGCUGGCCUAUAAAAAUAACAAGCAAGGGGAUGGAAUCCAUUCCGAGCUACUAGCGGCAGCCAGCUGCCCAGGUUUUGGCUCCCUCCUCGCCAUGGAGAUAGAUAAGAGAGAGAGAGAUAGACGGUGGCUGUGCAUGGUGGAGAAGCAGGGCACGUGCAUUACCAUCCAAUGCCGCUCCAUGCUCCUCCUCUGGGCUGCUCACCAAACGUUUAAGGAUGGAUGCAUGGAUCCAUGGAUGGAUGGUUCUUCAUGUGCCCAUCUUCUCCACCGAGCAUAAACCGUCUCGGCAUGCCUCACCUCGCCGGGUGUGGUAAGCCUCAUCAGUCAUCACCGGAUCAGAGUGAGGUGCAGGCGGUUCCUCUCAUCAGCGGUUCUCACUUGGCAAGCUAGGAUCCAUGCUCAUAUCUUGGAUCUUCUUGUAUGUCUCUCUCAUCUCUGGUUUCCUCAUUAUUGCUUAAUCUCGGUGACCCUAUAGUGUUUCAGUGCCAUAUUUAUUUUAUCUUUACUCAAGAAUUCAUCAGUGUUUUCUCAAGGGAGGACCAAGCUGUACACUUCAGUCCGGACUACUCUUUUGGCUUUUUGCUUCAUCUUCAGCUGUGCUUGAAAUUAACUUUUGGAUUAUAUUGGAUUUGUUUGAUUUGAUUUUAUCCGCACCAACUCCCUGAGUACUGAAAUGUCAUGGCGUCAUUUUCGCAGCGAAACGCAGGCGAUCAGCGGAAUAUGCUGAUUUACAGCAGGGGGGAGAGGAGAAAAUAUUGUCGGCUGGAAUGACAUGAUUGUUCUCAAAUUUAAUCAUGCUCGGUCGAAGGACUGCUUGUGAUGGGCAUGGCGUUGUGCUCUCUCGUUCGUCUGUCUCAGAUAUCAGGAGCCCCAUCUCAUCGUCGAUCGACAUGGUGUCGGCAUCAACCAGCUGACGGGAAGGCGCACUUGGCAUAUAUCCUAUGCGUUUCUGCCGUACAAACAACAGUAGCUGUGAAAGGGUGCCGUUGCUAUCCUUCCCUCCAUGAAUAGUACAACAUUGCAGAAAAAGUUGAAGUGUUCAUCUUGAUAUCCUGAGUUGCUAUCGCUUUUAUCUAAGCUGAAAGGAGUGGUUUCCCGACACUGAACAUUGAUUUGGUUACAGUCUUCAUCUUCAGGGCUGGGUGCACGCGAAGCCGAUCGAGAUGCAAAGAUUUGAGCAGUUCACAGCACUCAUCAUAAUUAAUUUCCACAUUACAACAUGAGAGUCCAUACAUGAUGCGUGCACAUUUCAGUCGGGCCAGAUGAACUCCGGAAAUCUACUUCUCGAAGCUCUGCAUUCGGAAGCGCUUUUAUGCUCUCUGAAAUGAAAACUGCACAAAUCCUGAAGCCAAUGUGUUGUCAAAUUAUCCUCAAUGUGCUUUCAACUGCCAGUAGCCACACAUACUGUACCCCAUUGUUCUAUUUUGGGGCCACCUUGUAUAUUUGUAGUACAUGUGAUAAUCUUUUUCAAUAAAGCAUAAAGGCACUUGUCUGGGUAA